Molecule: ribosomal RNA, 434 nt
Filed under: uncultured bacterium
Lineage: Bacteria
Description: partial 16S ribosomal RNA
Rfam family: Bacterial small subunit ribosomal RNA
Source: RNAcentral
AUGAACGCUGGCGGUAUGCUUAACACAUGCAAGUCGAACGGACUCUUCGGAGUUAGUGGUGGACGGGUGAGUAACGCGUGAGAAUCUGGCUUUGGGUUCGGGACAACCACUGGAAACGGUGGCUAAUACCGGAUGUGCCGAGAGGUAAAAGAGAAAUUGCCUGAAGAUGAGCUCGCGUCUGAUUAGCUAGUUGGUGAGGUAAAGGCUCACCAAGGCAGCGAUCAGUAGCUGGUCUGAGAGGAUGACCAGCCACACUGGGACUGAGACACGGCCCAGACUCCUACGGGAGGCAGCAGUGGGGAAUUUUCCGCAAUGGGCGAAAGCCUGACGGAGCAAUACCGCGUGAGGGAAGAAGGCUCUUGGGUUGUAAACCUCUUUUCUUAGGGAAGAACAAAAUGACGGUACCUAAGGAAUCAGCAUCGGCUAACUCCGUG